AGGACGAACGCUGGCGGCGUGCUUAACACAUGCAAGUCGAGCGAGGCCCUUCCUUCGGGAAGGUGCCCUAGCGGCGAACGGGUGAGUAACACGUGGGCAACCUGCCCCUAGCACUGGGAUAAGCCCGGGAAACCGGGUCUAAUACCGGAUAUGACCUUCGAGGGCAUCCUUGAAGGUGUAAAGGAUUCUGGCUAGGGAUGGGCCCGCGGCCUAUCAGCUUGUUGGUGGGGUAAUGGCCUACCAAGGCGACGACGGGUAGCCGGCCUGAGAGGGCGACCGGCCACACUGGGACUGAGACACGGCCCAGACUCCUACGGGAGGCAGCAGUGGGGAAUCUUGCACAAUGGGCGAAAGCCUGAUGCAGCGACGCCGCGUGAGGGAUGACUGCCUUCGGGUUGUAAACCUCUUUCAGCAGGGACGAAGCGAAAGUGACGGUACCUGCAGAAGAAGCACCGGCAACUACGCGCCAGCAGCCGC
This 477-nucleotide ribosomal RNA is filed under the name uncultured bacterium. Its description in RNAcentral is "SSU rRNA". It matches the Rfam family "Bacterial small subunit ribosomal RNA", at positions 26 to 518 of the family's 1533-position model. The record is from RNAcentral.